This 497-nucleotide ribosomal RNA is filed under the name uncultured bacterium. Its description in RNAcentral is "partial 16S ribosomal RNA". It matches the Rfam family "Bacterial small subunit ribosomal RNA", at positions 28 to 507 of the family's 1533-position model. The record is from RNAcentral.
GAUGAACGCUGGCGGCGUGCCUAAUACAUGCAAGUCGAGCGAACGGACGAGAAGCUCGCUUCUCUGAUGUUAGCGGCGGACGGGUGAGUAACACGUGGAUAACCUACCUAUAAGACUGGGAUAACUUCGGGAAACCGGAGCUAAUACCGGAUAAUAUUUUGAACCGCAUGGUUCAAAAGUAAAAGACGGUCUUGCUGUCACUUAUAGAUGGAUCCGCGCUGCAUUAGCUAGUUGGUAAGGUAACGGCUUACCAAGGCAACGAUGCAUAGCCGACCUGAGAGGGUGAUCGGCCACACUGGAACUGAGACACGGUCCAGACUCCUACGGGAGGCAGCAGUAGGGAAUCUUCCGCAAUGGGCGAAAGCCUGACGGAGCAACGCCGCGUGAGUGAUGAAGGUCUUCGGAUCGUAAAACUCUGUUAUUAGGGAAGAACAUAUGUGUAAGUAACUGUGCACAUCUUGACGGUACCUAAUCAGAAAGCCACGGCUAACUACGUG